RNAcentral lists this unclassified non-coding RNA (264 nucleotides) under uncultured fungus. RNAcentral describes it as "partial contains 5.8S ribosomal RNA, internal transcribed spacer 2, and large subunit ribosomal RNA". The record is from RNAcentral. Lineage: Eukaryota; Fungi.
AACGCACCUUGCGCCCGCCAGUAUUCUGGCGGGCAUGCCUGUCCGAGCGUCAUUUCUACCAUCAAGCUCUGCUUGCGAUGGGGCCCUGCGGCUGCCGCAGGCCCCGAAACCCAGUGGCCGGCUCCGGCGAACCACCGAGCGCAGUACUUUGCUUCCGCUCCGGCUGGACGACGGGCCCGCGCCGUAAAACGCAGAGCGUCCCCCCCCCGGGGGGCCUCUCCACAGGUUGACCUCGGAUCAGGUAGGAAUACCCGCUGAACUUAA